Molecule: long non-coding RNA, 401 nt
Organism: Vespula pensylvanica (western yellowjacket)
Lineage: Eukaryota; Metazoa; Arthropoda; Insecta; Hymenoptera; Vespidae
Exons: 3
Source: RefSeq, a predicted model, not a curated record
AGUCGAGGGUUCUACGUGCACGGUAAAAAGAACUCUCCAGAAUUAAGCAUUCCGAGAAGUUGGACAGUUUUAUUAAUGUUGUCCUAUUGUGCGUAUCUCUUUCGUUGCUACUCGAGUAAAUGUUAAUUCUUUGGUCUUUCUAAAAUCAAGAAGAAAAUAGUGAAUCUCUCGACCGUCAAAAUUUUUCUUCGAAGACAAUUCCCAUAAAACUUUGUACAAAUUAUAAAGAAGAAAAUAGUGCGACGAUUGUAAUAAUGAUUACGAGAAUUUAGAAAGAAAGAGAAUUAUUAUUUAAAAAAUUUUGUUCAUAAUCAAGAAAAAUACCAACAAAAGUGAUCGAUCUAUUUGUUUAAAAGAAUCUGAUUUAUCGAACGGAAGAUUGGAUUAUCGGAAACUGGUUG